RNAcentral lists this ribosomal RNA (129 nucleotides) under uncultured bacterium. Its description in RNAcentral is "partial 16S ribosomal RNA". It matches the Rfam family "Bacterial small subunit ribosomal RNA", at positions 1367 to 1500 of the family's 1533-position model. The record is from RNAcentral.
UACGUUCCCGGGCCUUGUACACACCGCCCGUCAAGCCAUGGAAGUCAGGGAGACCUGAAGACAGUGUACCGUCAAAGGAGCUGUUUAGGGUAAAACUGGUAACUGGGGCUAAGUCGUAAACAAGGUACC